CCACAAGCAUAUGAUCUUUGCUCCACAAGGUUGUACUUUGACAAGGCAUGAUGCUCUUUUUUGUGUAAGUUGACGAACUCUGGUGAAUGAAUUGCAUUUUGUUUCCUUUAAUCAUGACAGUGUACACGAGUAUUUGGCUAAUUAUUAUUGCUUAAUUUAUGUUUCCAUCAAAACAGCGAAUUUGCAUACGUCUAAUUGAUAUUUGAACUGAUGGUAUAAAGUAGUUUUGAUCUCAAAAUAUUGAGAAGACAUGGAUUCAACUAGGGAGGAGUAGAGGAAGACCAUGCAAAUGAGGGAUAUGUAAGAUAUGUGUCCUAGCACCUUUCAUAAGGAGUUUUUUUAAGGAGAUGUUCAUAAUAAACCAAUUCUGAAAGUGACUUUUCUAGCAAGCAUCUAGCAAGGGUGACAUGGCAUGUAUCAUCACAAAUAUACAAUGACAAGUGAUGUGUAUUUGUUCUUCCAUUGUUACUUUGGGUUUAUUUUAACAUAUCUCCAUAGUGAUUUGCUACAAGUUAAUUAUUUUUGUUUUUUGUUUUUUGUGAAAGUUUUGGCGGGCUGUGAGCUGGAUGUGCUAUUAGUCAUGGUGCCGAGCUUGGAUUGAGGAGAUGGAUAGAAGAAGGUCAAUGCGCUUGAGGAGGCGGCAAUAGCACACCUGUGGUCCAAAUCUAGGUGAAUUAUUGUGGCUGAUCUAGAGGCCUGUCUAGAGAACGGCAGGGCCACAACGUUCGUGCAGCGGUGGCUGUACACACCAUCCGGAGGCGAGCAACGGCUGCGCUGGCAGCCGCUUGGAAGGGAAGCGAAGGUCAUGGAGGAGGAGGCUAUGCAUGGCCGAGGAGCAGGUCGUGCGCUGCCGCAGGGACGGGAGAGCCGGCGCCGGCUCCAAGUACGCCAUCAUCCAAGUUGCACUUGGGCUUCCCUCCAGCAGGUCCACACCGUAUCUUAGGUCAUGAUCGGGCUGACAGCGGUUUGUCCACUACACUCGACCAUGUGCUCAGCUGACCUCGAUGCCCAUAUUUUCCUAGACACCAUGGCACGAGUACCAACCUCACAGGCUGAACUGAUGGAUGUUGGUAUUUUGAUCUUGCUAUGUCAAAUAGUAUGAUGUAAUCUAUGGAGCUGAAGCUAUAGCUAGAUCUUGAUCUUACUGUCAUAUCCGUGUCAAGCACAAGCCGGCGCCUCUAUUUCCGGAUUGACAGCACACGAUGAGAAGAAGACAUGGUUUACCUCAGAGCUGGGGACUACAGAGGAUAGCGUCUUUGUGAAUUCAGAUAAGAAUAAUAUUGGAGAGCACCGCACGCAACAGUGGUCAAGGGCUUAGUGUCUGUUGACCUUGUCCGUGGCCGCUGUUGGUCGGUGAAGGAGGCAUGCAUGAGGUGGUGCAAGGGCAUGCUGGUGACGGAGUCGCGCAUGAUGAGGCCGGGUGAGUAACGCUCGGGAACUGCCGGGCGCUCAGACUGACGCGGGAUGGGGUUGGCGCGGUGACUCAAGGAGGAGGAUGUAGUUAUGGGGGAGGGAGUGACGAUGGAGGGGCUUCGAUGGCCCGAUGAGACCCUACAUCAUAAUCAAGGAGGACCCUACAUCUAAAGGAAACAGAGCAAUCUAUAUCAUUAGUCUAUUACUGGAUUUCUAGAAGGAAAAAGGGAUAAAUGGUUGUUUCUGCUACUCUACAUUUGCUUUAAAAUUGGUGUACAUAUAUCAAGAAGAACUUGGUUGCAAAAGUGAUCAAACAUAAGAGAAAACACAAACACAUUGGUUUUGUAAUUAAAUGCCUAAGAUCUUAUAAUUUUGAAUUAAAUUGUUUGAUUAUACAAUCAGUUCACAUUA
Molecule: long non-coding RNA, 1824 nt
Organism: Triticum aestivum (bread wheat)
Lineage: Eukaryota; Viridiplantae; Streptophyta; Magnoliopsida; Poales; Poaceae
Exons: 4
Source: RefSeq, a predicted model, not a curated record